AGAUAAAGUUGAUUGUUUUCAUACAAUGAUCCUUUCCAGUAUAUCGAUAUCACACAUGCUUGUUACCGAAUUGGUGAGGACCGGAAAUUCUGUGUUUUUGCUGAAGUUUGAAGUUUCAGCUAUCUUUGAAUAGUACUAAAUGGAUUAUCUUGCCAACUUCUGAAAAAGUUAGUGAUGUCUUUUCCUGUAUGAUGUACCGAUAGCACAAUUGUGAAGCCCUAUGGUCCAGAAGAAGGUUGUUUAUUAUCCUUUUUUUUUUGUUCAUUCAGGGAGAAUAUAUUCAUCCAUAGGUUAUGAGAGGUUUUAAGUUGUGACAGAGAACAUUCUUAUGUAAUUAUCAGUUGAGAAUUCAUGUGGAGAGUGAAUUAGUGAGAUAAAAGUGCUGGUCACAAUGGAGAAGCUUUGCUAGGACUUUCAUUUAAUUCAACAUCUACUCUAACUGAAUGAACGAGCAAUGAGGAUGGAAAUGGUUUCUACAAACUAAGAAGCUCAGAGACUUCAAUCGUUGCAGGACCAAUGAUUCAGAGAAGACUUUUCUAUCAAGCAUCACUGUCUUAUCUCACUGUUCUUGGAAUCAGAAACUUUGUGGCAGCUUCAGUUGAAUUCAGUACUUGAAAUUUUUGUCCAACACAUUGUCACUGCAAAAAAUUUGUAUUUUUCUCAUGGAGAUAAGUGUCAGAGCUGGCAUAUACACCAUCCUAUAGUAGCUGGCAAGCCAUCGUGCUUAAUUUAAAUUUUCUUUGAAAUUGAGUACGUGCAACGGAAGAAAACCUCAAAGAUCCUCACAAUGGAGUUGAAUGCUAACAUUUGCUCAAAGCCCAUUUUCAAGAGGAAUUCCAGUAUGGAAAUUAGUGAAAGGCCUUCAAAUGCAGCAAGGCAGAGGUUUGCAAAAUCACAUCCGGACGGUGUAAAGAUUUCCUGAGAGGUAAGAGUGAUGGCAAGGUGAAAUUCCUACAAAUAUGUAGAAAUAUGUAGUAAGCUUUAACAGUUUAUAUGUAUACACUCUUCUGUAUGUUUCGAUCUGAAUCUCUUUAUGGUUUUGUAUUUGCUCUUUGUUUGGUCACACUGCAACUCAUCUUCAAUCCAUUUAUUGAAGAGGAUGGGCUUUCUCUAACAUGUGCAAUUUUCUGGAAGUGGGUUCUUUCUUGUCAUGUAAAAUUCUUACAAGGGAGUGAAUACUUGUA
Non-coding RNA from Musa acuminata subsp. malaccensis (wild Malaysian banana), 1184 nucleotides. The record is from RefSeq and is a predicted model, not a curated record. Lineage: Eukaryota; Viridiplantae; Streptophyta; Magnoliopsida; Zingiberales; Musaceae.